AAGGAUCAAGAGCCAAACUCUCGCUGUCCCGCUAGCACGUGGGGGUAAAAGGUUCGGUGGUUUUCAGGGCUCUCGAUUCCCCCCAUCAACCUAUCAAGAGGCCGUGCUGCCAAGUUAAAUUUGGAAUAUGCAAGAAGAGUGGAAAUAAUCAAAGAUAUUCCUAAUUCAUUGAGGUAGAAGGCAGACAGCUGUUGAAUUCAAAGAAAUUCAAGAGUUUGAGGUGUGGAAUUUUCAGCUGUUUAAAGAGACCCUGGUCGAUACUGUUCUGUGCUAUGAGAUGGCUGCUCUCUUGAAUCAUGAGCUAUUGUUAUACAUAAGCUUUAUAGUUGUGGAAGUGUGAGAGAGUGAUAUUUUCCAAUAAAAGGUACAACUGUGAUUGAAUAUUUGAUCUAUAGAUAAAUAAAUUGUGAAA
Molecule: long non-coding RNA, 412 nt
Organism: Asparagus officinalis (garden asparagus)
Lineage: Eukaryota; Viridiplantae; Streptophyta; Magnoliopsida; Asparagales; Asparagaceae
Exons: 3
Source: RefSeq, a predicted model, not a curated record